GCUAGCGUAGCUUAAUACAAAGCAUAACACUGAAAAUGUUAAAAUGGGCCCUGAGAAGCUCCGCAUGCA
RNAcentral lists this transfer RNA (69 nucleotides) under Hybognathus amarus (Rio Grande silvery minnow). Its description in RNAcentral is "tRNA-Phe". It matches the Rfam family "tRNA". Rfam says of the family: Transfer RNA (tRNA) molecules are approximately 80 nucleotides in length. Their secondary structure includes four short double-helical elements and three loops (D, anti-codon, and T loops). Further hydrogen bonds mediate the characteristic L-shaped molecular structure. tRNAs have two regions of fundamental functional importance: the anti-codon, which is responsible for specific mRNA codon recognition, and the 3' end, to which the tRNAs corresponding amino acid is attached (by aminoacyl-tRNA synthetases). tRNAs cope with the degeneracy of the genetic code in two manners: having more than one tRNA (with a specific anti-codon) for a particular amino acid; and 'wobble' base-pairing, i.e. permitting non-standard base-pairing at the 3rd anti-codon position. The record is from RNAcentral. Lineage: Eukaryota; Metazoa; Chordata; Actinopteri; Cypriniformes; Leuciscidae.